AACGAACGCUGGCGGCAGGCCUAACACAUGCAAGUCGAGCGAACCCUUCGGGGUUAGCGGCGGACGGGUUAGUAACGCGUGGGAAUAUACCCUUUGGUACGGAAUAGCCUCGGGAAACUGAGAGUAAUACCGUAUGUGCCCUUCGGGGGAAAGAUUUAUCGCCAAAGGAUUAGCCCGCGUUGGAUUAGAUAGUUGGUGGGGUAAUGGCCUACCAAGUCUACGAUCCAUAGCUGGUUUGAGAGGAUGAUCAGCAACACUGGGACUGAGACACGGCCCAGACUCCUACGGGAGGCAGCAGUGGGGAAUCUUAGACAAUGGGCGCAAGCCUGAUCUAGCCAUGCCGCGUGGACGAUGAAGGCCUUAGGGUUGUAAAGUCCUUUCAGAUGGGAAGAUAAUGACGGUACCAUCAGAAGAAGCCCCGGCUAACUCCGUGCCAGCAGCCGCGGUAAUGUACAGUGU
Molecule: ribosomal RNA, 459 nt
Filed under: uncultured bacterium
Lineage: Bacteria
Description: bacterial SSU rRNA
Rfam family: Bacterial small subunit ribosomal RNA
Source: RNAcentral